Molecule: ribosomal RNA, 365 nt
Filed under: Escherichia coli
Lineage: Bacteria; Pseudomonadati; Pseudomonadota; Gammaproteobacteria; Enterobacterales; Enterobacteriaceae
Description: partial 23S ribosomal RNA
Rfam family: Bacterial large subunit ribosomal RNA
Source: RNAcentral
GGGUUGUGAGGUUAAGUGACUAAGCGUACACGGUGGAUGCCCUGGCAGUCAGAGGCGAUGAAGGACGUGCUAAUCUGCGAUAAGCGUCGGUAAGGUGAUAUGAACCGUUAUAACCGGCGAUUUCCGAAUGGGGAAACCCAGUGUGAUUCGUCACACUAUCAUUAACUGAAUCCAUAGGUUAAUGAGGCGAACCGGGGGAACUGAAACAUCUAAGUACCCCGAGGAAAAGAAAUCAACCGAGAUUCCCCCAGUAGCGGCGAGCGAACGGGGAGCAGCCCAGAGCCUGAAUCAGUGUGUGUGUUAGUGGAAGCGUCUGGAAAGGCGCGCGAUACAGGGUGACAGCCCCGUACACAAAAAUGCACAUA